This 500-nucleotide ribosomal RNA is filed under the name uncultured bacterium. RNAcentral describes it as "partial 16S ribosomal RNA". It matches the Rfam family "Bacterial small subunit ribosomal RNA", at positions 30 to 523 of the family's 1533-position model. The record is from RNAcentral.
AUUGAACGCUGGCGGAAUGCUUUACACAUGCAAGUCGAACGGCAGCACGGACUUCGGUCUGGUGGCGAGUGGCGAACGGGUGAGUAAUGUAUCGGAACGUGCCCAGUCGUGGGGGAUAACGUAGUGAAAAUUACGCUAAUACCGCAUACGAUCUAAGAACGACAUCGGGGGAUCGCACGACCUCGCGCGAUUGUAGCGGCCGAUAUCAGAUUAGGUAGUUGGUGGGGUAAAGGCCCACCAAGCCAACGAUCUGUAGCUGGUCUGAGAGGCCGACCAGCCACACUGGAAAUGAGACACGGUCCAGACUCCUACGGGAGGCAGCAGUGGGGAAUUUUGGACAAUGGGCGAAAGCCUGAUCCAGCCAUUCCGCGUGCAGGAUGAAGGCCCUCGGGUUGUAAACUGCUUUUGUACAGAACGAAAAGGUUUCUACUAGUACUAGGAGCUCAUGACGGUACUGUAAGAAUAAGCACCGGCUAACUACGUGCCAGCAGCCGCCGUAA